GAUGAACGCUGGCGGCGUGCUUAACACAUGCAAGUCGAACGAGAAGUGAAGACGGAACCCUUCGGGCGGAAGGCUUUAUUUCGAGUGGCGGACGGGUGAGUAACGCGUGGGUAACCUGCCUCAUACAGGGGGAUAACAGUUGGAAACGACUGUUAAUACCGCAUAAGACCACAGCACCGCAUGGUGCGGGGGUAAAAACUCCGGUGGUAUGAGAUGGACCCGCGUUCGAUUAGCCAGUUGGCGGGGUAACGGCCCACCAAAGCGACGAUCGAUAGCCGAUCUGAGAGGAUGACCGGCCACAUUGGGACUGAGACACGGCCCAAACUCCUACGGGAGGCAGCAGUGGGGAAUAUUGCACAAUGGGGGAAACCCUGAUGCAGCGACGCCGCGUGAGUGAAGAAGUAUUUCGGUAUGUAAAGCUCUAUAAGCAGGGAAGAAAAUGACGGUACCUGAGGAAGAAGCCCCGGCUAACUACGUG
RNAcentral lists this ribosomal RNA (478 nucleotides) under uncultured bacterium. RNAcentral describes it as "partial 16S ribosomal RNA". It matches the Rfam family "Bacterial small subunit ribosomal RNA", at positions 28 to 507 of the family's 1533-position model. The record is from RNAcentral.